Molecule: long non-coding RNA, 1328 nt
Organism: Gallus gallus (chicken)
Lineage: Eukaryota; Metazoa; Chordata; Aves; Galliformes; Phasianidae
Source: Ensembl
UCAUAUUUAACCUUUAUUUACUGAUUCCGCCUAUAAAUGGGAAGGAAAACAUUUUCCAGUCAACUCGUGCCACUAGAAGAGAGGAAAGAUCACGAGGCCAAAACGGGAAUGGAGAAGGGAGCACAAUUCUCUGCUUUGCUGUUACAAAUGGGAGUUUCCUGACAUGUCCACAAGACCUGUAACGAAGCUUGAGGUGAAGGCUGGCCAGCCUGAAGUCUGCCUGUCCAGCGUAGCGCAAGGCACAUCAAACUCAGCUUUCUGCCAAAGGGGGCCCACUGUGACAAAGAAAAACGUCUACCCAUCUCCUGCAAGAAUGAGAAAACUGAGAAUUUACUUGGUGGAGUCGCUGUCUUACAUCUGCAGUGUGUGCACGCAGGCUGGAAGAGCGGUGCUGCCAGGUAGCCUACUGGGUGUCCGCGCACUGCUGCAGCAGCUCGCCACUCGGUUCUCAGCACACACGCACAUGAAAAACCAUUUUCUCCUUCAGUAUUUACAACCAACCGCUCCGUUACCCACAUCCUGUUGACAGGAGAAACAAUGGAAGGCUCCUCAUAGCUUAUUACUCAUAAAACCUGACUCGUUCAGACAGAUCAUUUGCAGCUAGUGAACUCGAAGUGAUUACUUCUGACUGCAGUGUCCCUCAGAGCGUGAGGGCUGGGAGAGGUGGUGCUUCCAUUACUCCUCUUCAUUCACAUCUUUUUGGGCUUUAGUUCCCAGUUAGUUUCUUGGCUUUGAAUUUUUUGCUAUGUUUUUCUUUCAGAUUAUUCGACUCAUUCAGCUCCAAUAUUCUUUCGGCACAUGUAGAAAAAUUACUGUUAUCAAAAGCUGGUUCAGUUCAGCCAGUUCUCGUUCCAGAUGUUCAGAUGGUAAUUCCAUCACUUCAGAGAUUUUAUGUUCCCUUAAAACUUUAACAGCGAAUGCUUAUGGUUUUCACCUUAGAUGUUAUGAAACUCAUCUUUAAAAUUAUAUUGUCUCAAUAGCCCAUGGAAGAAUGUCACACUUGAUCUUAAAUAGGCUUAUCUCUAAGUAGGAUAUUGAUAUUACUAGUAAGUCCAGUUCAAGUGUUUGCAUAUGCAUACGUAAAAGCAUACGAAUAUACUUUAAAAGAAAACAAGAUUUUUCAAUGCCAUGUAGUCUGAAGUCCCGGCUUCCAGAGAUGAAGGGGAACAUUUAUGUUUGCAAAAUACCUGCCAAAAGAUAAUGGGUACUCCUGUCUCGUGCUCUAUCUUAAAUGUGAAAGCACCGUUCCUCAGACGCCUAAGAUGGACUGAAGCUUCUUUUGAAUGUUCCUUGUAUUUGUUUUGUAUAUGAAUUAAAGACCUCAUAUC